Molecule: ribosomal RNA, 253 nt
Filed under: uncultured bacterium
Lineage: Bacteria
Description: partial 16S ribosomal RNA
Rfam family: Bacterial small subunit ribosomal RNA
Source: RNAcentral
UACGUAGGUGACCAGCGUUGUCCGGAUUUACUGGGCGUAAAGAGCGCGCAGGCGGUCGAAUAAGUCGAAUGUGAAAGCCCCCGGCUCAACUGGGGAGGGUCAUUCGAUACUGCUCGACUUGAAGGCAGGAGAGGGUAGUGGAAUUCCCGGUGUAGUGGUGAAAUGCGUAGAUAUCGGGAGGAACACCAGUGGCGAAGGCGACUACCUGGCCUGUUCUUGACGCUGAGGCGCGAAAGCUGGGGGAGCAAACGGG